RNAcentral lists this transfer RNA (88 nucleotides) under Bacillota bacterium. RNAcentral describes it as "tRNA-Leu". It matches the Rfam family "tRNA". Rfam says of the family: Transfer RNA (tRNA) molecules are approximately 80 nucleotides in length. Their secondary structure includes four short double-helical elements and three loops (D, anti-codon, and T loops). Further hydrogen bonds mediate the characteristic L-shaped molecular structure. tRNAs have two regions of fundamental functional importance: the anti-codon, which is responsible for specific mRNA codon recognition, and the 3' end, to which the tRNAs corresponding amino acid is attached (by aminoacyl-tRNA synthetases). tRNAs cope with the degeneracy of the genetic code in two manners: having more than one tRNA (with a specific anti-codon) for a particular amino acid; and 'wobble' base-pairing, i.e. permitting non-standard base-pairing at the 3rd anti-codon position. The record is from RNAcentral. RNAcentral also lists the same sequence under 1 other name. Lineage: Bacteria; Bacillati; Bacillota.
GCCGAAGUGGCGGAAUUGGCAGACGCGCUAGAUUCAGGGUCUAGUGUGCAUUGCGCACGUGCAGGUUCGAGUCCUGUCUUCGGCACCA